Molecule: long non-coding RNA, 936 nt
Filed under: Homo sapiens (human)
Lineage: Eukaryota; Metazoa; Chordata; Mammalia; Primates; Hominidae
Description: non-protein coding lnc-CDK20-5:1
Source: RNAcentral
CGGCCUCCCAAAAUGCUGCGAUUAUAGGCGUGAACCUGGCCACUAUUGUCUUUUUUAAAUUCACAUAUCCAGAACUGGUGGCUUACAGAAACCCAUUCUAGGAUAUGAGAUUAACUAAUUUAUUCAUUCAUUUAGUUAUCCAUGACUUCAAGAAAUAAUUAUUUGGUGCCAAUUCCUAGCUCUGUGCUAGGAAUUGGAACACGAGCAUUUCCUCUCCUGACAAGCAAGUGUAUAUAGCAGCUCUGCAAGGUUCUGUGUGGCACCUCGGGAAAGUGGUCCAGCGACAGGGGACACCUGGGGAAGAACGAAGCUCACCAGGGCUCAGGAAACAAGGGCUGCACCCUACAGAGGAACAGGAGUGGAGCAGAAGCUCUGUGGCCGUCAAGCAGGAGGUGAGGUUGUCCUGGACCAGCGCAGUGGCUGCUGAAUGGAAAACGGGACAGGCAUAGAGGGUACAUGAAGGUAUCUUGAAGGUCUUGCUCAAGAACUGGAUGUGGUGCAUGAAGAGAAGGAAGAAACGAUGAAUUCUUGGGUUUUGGUUUGAAAUUUGGUAAAUGUGCCAUUUACUGGGAUUGAAGCAGAGGGCAAGUGAAGAAUUGUUUUAGUUUAAACUUUGAGAUGACUCAGGUAUUGAAAUAGUGAGUAAGGAAUAGAAACUUGGGUUUGGAGGUUGGGGGAGGAUUCUGGGUUGAUUUUGAAUUUGGGAGCAGGUAGGUGUUAUUUAAAGUCCAUAGUGUAGGCCAGGCAUGUAAUCCCAGCACUUUCGGAGGCCGAGGUGGGCAGAUCACUUGAGGUCAGGAGUUAGAGACCAGCCUGGCUAACAUGGUGGAAAACCCAUCUCUAUUAAAAAUACAGAAAUUAGCCAGGCGUGGUGGCGCACACUUACAAUCCCAUCUACUCGGGAGGCUGAGACAGAAGAAUUGCUUGAACCCGGAA